UUUUUUUUUUUUUUUUUUUAGAAAACGCUCAUUCUUUAAAAAGAUGUUAUGCUUUGGGCAGUUGUGUGGUCACCAUUCCUGUCAACUGCAUCCAUGAGGGGUGCCAGAGAGCACAGAGAGCACAGAAAGGCCAGGCACAUAACCAUUUCUAGAACACACGGUUGAAGCUCAGGUGCAAGGCCAGCGACUCCAUCUUCCUUAACUGCGGUCCCACCACCACGCAUUUCAGCCUUGACCUUGGCCUUCCUCCUACUCAUGGGAAGUCUGCUAUUGUCCCAGCUCCAUGGUGAGUUAUGACAACGUUCAGUGGAAGAAGAGGGCAUCUCAUUAAAGUUGUUCAUGCCCAGGUUAUGACUCCCUAGGGGACUAACGGGGCAAAGCUUAAUCCCACUGCGCGCCCCUCAUUAGAUACCCAAAUUCCAGACUGUGCUUAGGAGGAGGCGCCUCCGUAGACCUAUUCUCAUCAAAAGACUGCAGAACCAUUUUUAAGACCCAUGGGUGGAAUUAACUUGAUGCUAGAGCAUUUCUAGCCUUGGGAUUCCUGGGGAUUGGAAGAGCCAAAGGCAGAACAAGGAAGCAUCACAAUGAGUUGGAAGCUCCCAUUGUUUUCCUCUGAAAAAGACGCUUCUCAUCACCUUCUCCCAGUGCUCUUGCCCACACACCCACAUCACCCUGGUACUAAGGCGCUUCCAGUUCACAAGCGUUUCCCCUGCGGAUCCCGCAGGGGUGGGCGGGGGUCCCCUCUCCACCAAAGUCCUCUGCAGCCCUCCUGAUGCCUCAGCAGCUGGUACUUCUUCCUCUGGGCCUCUUUCCCCAGGGGAAGAGGAUUGGCCGUCUCACUGAGUUCACUGGAGGCAAACUUGACAUUCAGGCUAAUAUUUCUCUGACUGCAUGUCUUGUUUACGCAAUGCCACCGCGGAGGGGCCAGCCCCUGGCAUUUCUAUCCUGCGGUAUUUAUGGGCUGUCAUCACAGGAAGUCGGCACUUCCAAGCUCUCCCUCCAUCCCCACACAGGCAGGCCGGAAAUCCGUCGCUCUGGAGCCCAGCACGGGAGGCGGCUUGAACCAACUCAGAGUCUAGUUCACUCGGAAGUCGUCCAAGUAAAAGGUCAGCGUUUGAGCGCUUCACACCUCUGAGCCCAGACACCCUCCCUCCUGUGUUGUCCUAGAGCCUCGCCCAGCCUGCUGCCCGGGCAGCUGCUACGGGCUGCUCACCUGCGCUGCAUCAGGCCAUUUCCAAGCUGCUGGAACAGGUAGCUCAGGCUCUGGCUGCUGAGAACAGGCCUGGCGGGGAGCUACCCACCAGCUCCUCUCUUGCGGACCUCACUUCACCUGGGAUGGUUUUUGACCUUUCGAGGUUAGUGACUCCUGAGCAGUUAUAGACAGCUCUGUUAUUGUGGGUUCAGGCCUGAGGAUGGUUUAUCAUCUUGUAAUUCUGAGAAGAAAAGGGACAGGAGAAAGGUAGCUUUGAAUUAACUGUUUUGCCAUAACACACUUUUCAAAAUUAUUUAAGAAACAGAUUGUCACAACUCUCACAAGUUUUAUGUUUUGCAUGGUGUUUUGUUUCAAAUUUUUUUUAAAGCUGUAACGAUGUAGAUGUUUUCUAUGCUUGAAAAUACACGUUAUGGGGUCCCUGAUGGCUUAGCAGGUUAAGGAUCCGGCCUUGUCACUGCUGUGGCAUGGUUUCGAUCCCUGGCCCUGGAACUUCGCAAGCAGGGCCAAAAUAAUACUAAUAAUUAUACUACUACUAAUAACAAUAAUAAUACAUGUUACUUAAUAACAUUUUAUAAAUAUUUCGCUAACUUUCUAUACAAUCUUUAUAACAAUUUUAAUGUCUACCUAAUUCACCGAGUUGCCAUGUAUCACAGAUGAUGUAACGCGUACUUGUUGCAUUUUUAGAUUUUUGCUGAAGUGUUUAGUUAAGAAGAUGUCAGGGAGUGCAAUACUCUGCAGAGGGGGUGUGAGGGGUGACACAGAGAGGGGUUCUCGUUUCCAUUGCCAUGUAAGGGCAACGGGCACCUUGGGGAUGGUUGAAGCGGCUGCCACCAAUCUGCAAGCUCACCCAACUCCCAGGACCCUGUCCUUCCCAGCACAAUGCAGUCGCGUGUGCACCCACACAGACGCGCACACAGACACCCACCGAACACCAGAGGGGCCUUCCCCCCUCUCUGCCCGGCUCCUGGGUCCACUCCAUGGACCACCUGCAUGCCACCCCCCAGGCAUGUCUGAUCUCUGGGUCCCAGGUCCUCUCAUGGGCCCAUCCUGCCUCUGAAAGAAUCGCUCUCCCGUCGGAACUCAGAACAGACAUGCAGGGAGCUGUUGUGAAUGACGCGUUUGGCAGCUGCCAUUUUACAGCCUGUCUGAAAAGCGGCACGGGCGUCCCACUCUCAGUCAUUUGGGUCCUCCGUGGAUCACCUCCAAAGUCACACCUCUCCAGGUCUCCACGGUGCCCGGGCCUGUACUCAGGUCUAGGAUGUAAUGAUGUCUCUGGGUUUGAGACGUCAGGACUGCACGAGCCAGGAGCCUCUUGCUGUUCUCAGCCAUCAGCUCUUGAACAUUUCUAAGCGGAUGAACAGGAGGUGAAACGUACAUGGUGUCCUCAUCCGUCUGCAAACCGAACGAAUGUGAUACAAUUAAUGAUUGUUCUGCUGUAUAGUAUUCAGCCAUGAAGAGUAAGCAGUAGAGUCUAGUUACAGUGAUAUACUGCUGAUGACUCAGAUAUAUAUUUGUAAAUGAGACCUGACCUCUGAUUCAUAAAACAAAAAA
Molecule: long non-coding RNA, 2764 nt
Filed under: Sus scrofa (pig)
Lineage: Eukaryota; Metazoa; Chordata; Mammalia; Artiodactyla; Suidae
Description: lncRNA (ENSSSCG00030047563.1)
Source: RNAcentral